UACGUAGGGAGCAAGCGUUGUCCGGAAUCAUUGGGCGUAAAGCGCGCGUAGGUGGCCCCAUAAGUCCGCUGUGAAAGUCAAAGGCUCAACCUUUGAAAGCCGGUGGAUACUGUGGGACUAGAGUACGGAAGAGGCGAGUGGAAUUCCUGGUGUAGCGGUGGAAUGCGCAGAUAUCAGGAGGAACACCGGUGGCGAAGGCGGGACUCUGGGCCGAUACUGACGCUGAGGAGCGAAAGCGUGGGGAGCAAACAGG
This 253-nucleotide ribosomal RNA is filed under the name uncultured bacterium. Its description in RNAcentral is "partial 16S ribosomal RNA". It matches the Rfam family "Bacterial small subunit ribosomal RNA", at positions 524 to 776 of the family's 1533-position model. The record is from RNAcentral.